UAAGUACAAACUCAAUUCCAGAGGAACUUA
Molecule: non-coding RNA, 30 nt
Filed under: Mus musculus (house mouse)
Lineage: Eukaryota; Metazoa; Chordata; Mammalia; Rodentia; Muridae
Source: RNAcentral